CCUACGGGAGGCAGCAGUGGGGAAUAUUGCGCAAUGGGGGAAACCCUGACGCAGCAACGCCGCGUGAGUGAGGAAGGACUUCGGUCUGUAAAGCUCUGUUAAUGUGGAAAAAUGGUAGUUGGUCUAAUAGGCCGAUUAUUUGAUGGUACACAUAGAGGAAGCACCGGCUAACUUCGUGCCAGCAGCCGCGGUAAUACGAAGGGUGCAAGCGUUGUUCGGAUUUAUUGGGCGUAAAGCGCGCGUAGGCGGACCUGUAAGUCAGAUGUGAAAUCUCGGGGCUCAACCUCGAAACUGCGUCUGAAACUGCAGGUCUAGAAUCUCGGAGGGGGAAGGGGAAUUUCGCAUGUAGGGGUAAAAUCCGUAGAUAUGCGAAGGAACACCAGAGGCGAAGGCGCCUUCCUGGACGAGUAUUGACGCUGAGGCGCGAAAGCGUGGGGAUCAAACAGGAUUAGAUACCCUGGUAGUCCACGCUGUAAACUAUGAACACUAGGUAUUGGAGGAUUUCGACCCCUUCAGUGCCGUAGCUAACGCGUUAAGUGUUCCGCCUGGGAAGUACGGUCGCAAGACUAAAACUUAAANGAAUUGACG
Molecule: ribosomal RNA, 588 nt
Filed under: uncultured bacterium
Lineage: Bacteria
Description: bacterial SSU rRNA
Rfam family: Bacterial small subunit ribosomal RNA
Source: RNAcentral